RNAcentral lists this ribosomal RNA (809 nucleotides) under uncultured bacterium. RNAcentral's name for it is "bacterial SSU rRNA". It matches the Rfam family "Bacterial small subunit ribosomal RNA", at positions 1 to 797 of the family's 1533-position model. The record is from RNAcentral.
CCCUUAGAGUUUGAUCCUGGCUCAGAAUCAACGCUGGCGGCGUGCCUAACACAUGCAAGUCGAACGCGACUGUCCCGCAAGGGACAGUUGAGUGGCAAACGGGUGAGUAACACGUGGGUGACCUGCCUUCGAGUGGGGGAUAACGUCCCGAAAGGGACGCUAAUACCGCAUGACAUCCUGCUCUUGGACGAGCGGAGAUCAAAGCUGGGGAUCGCAAGACCUGGCGCUUGAAGAGGGGCCCGCGCCUGAUUAGCUCGUUGGUGGGGUAACGGCCUACCAAGGCAACGAUCAGUAUCCGGCCUGAGAGGGCGGACGGACACACUGGGACUGAGACACGGCCCAGACUCCUACGGGAGGCAGCAGUGGGGAAUUGUUCGCAAUGGGCGCAAGCCUGACGACGCAACGCCGCGUGGAGGACGAAGAUCUUCGGGUCGUAAACUCCUGUCGAGUGGGAAGAACACUUCCCGGGUGAAUAACCCGGGAGGCUGACGGUACCACUAAAGGAAGCCCCGGCUAACUCCGUGCCAGCAGCCGCGGUAAUACGGGGGGGGCAAGCGUUGUUCGGAAUUACUGGGCGUAAAGGGCUCGUAGGCGGCCAACUAAGUCGGAUGUGAAAUCCCCAGGCUCAACCUGGGAACUGCAUCCGAUACUGGAUGGCUUGAAUUCGGGAGAGGGAUGCAGAAUUCCAGGUGUAGCGGUGAAAUGCGUAGAUAUCUGGAGGAAUACCGGUGGCGAAGCGGCAUCCUGGACCGACAUUGACGCUGAGAGCGAAGCUAGGGAGCAAACGGGAUAGAUACCCCGGUAGUCUA